AUGUUCACUGUUAUAUUCAUGUGUCUGUGGCUUUCACUAGGUGACUCCAUGGCAGAUUCAAUAGAGCCACUUUUCACUCAUGAAUUUGUAGAUGAAGGUGAUGAUGUUACUCUGUCCUGCAAAUACGAAACAAGUAGUACAGGCCCCUACCUGCACUGGUACAGACAACAUCCAAAAUCUAAACCUGUGUUCCUUCUUUACACUGAUCUGUUUGGAGGAAAAAGUAAGCCCAUGCCACCACGUCUGGAUGCUGAAGUUAAUAAAACGAAUAAAGAAGUGGAUCUGAUUAUCUCCUCUGCUGCUGUAUCAGACUCUGCUCUUUACUACUGUGCUCUGAGGCCCACAGUGACAGGAAAUCCAGCUGCACUGUACAAAAACCUCUACACUGGUAUGUUUAACUAAAGACUGCCAACAGGGGGAGACAGUGGCUUGGAGGUUGGCUUGUUUGCCUUGCACUUUUGAGAUUAAGGGUUCUGAAUCUCACCUCCACUGUGUGUGCUGAAUUUGUUUCCACUAUGCUUCAGAUGUUUCCUCCACCAACCUAAA
Non-coding RNA from Silurus meridionalis, 546 nucleotides. The record is from the annotation of a RefSeq genome assembly. NCBI's taxonomy places the organism in Eukaryota, Metazoa, Chordata, Actinopteri, Siluriformes, Siluridae.